AGCUCCAAUAGCGUAUACUAAUGUUGUUGCAGUUAAAAAGCUCGUAGUCGGAUUUCAGCUUUGCUCAUCUUUUCCACUUUGGAUCUGCUGGGGAGGGCUUCUUUGACGGAAGUAUUCCUGACAUUUCAUUUGUUGGGUUUUUCAACCGUCUCUUUUACUUUGAGAAAAUUAGAGUGUUCAAAGCAGGCAUUGCCUGAAUAUUACUCUUGGAAUAAUAAUAGAUGACUCUGGUGCUAGUUUGUUGGUGCACUGGUGCCGGAGUAAUGAUUAAUAGCGACGGUUGGGGUCAUUCGACUGCAAAGCGAGAGGUGAAAUUCUUGGACCUUUGAUGACGAACAACUGCGAAAAGCAUUUGACUAGGACGUUCGCGUUGAUC
This 376-nucleotide ribosomal RNA is filed under the name uncultured eukaryote. RNAcentral describes it as "SSU rRNA". It matches the Rfam family "Eukaryotic small subunit ribosomal RNA", at positions 587 to 978 of the family's 1831-position model. The record is from RNAcentral.